Long non-coding RNA from Pseudopipra pipra, 791 nucleotides. RefSeq lists it as uncharacterized. The record is from RefSeq and is a predicted model, not a curated record. The transcript has 2 exons. NCBI's taxonomy places the organism in Eukaryota, Metazoa, Chordata, Aves, Passeriformes, Pipridae.
UUUGGAUGUGUUUAGGGUCUGUGUUUAACCACAGCUUGUUUACAAGCUUGUUUACAGAUGGUGACUGAACAAGUCUAAUUUCACCUGCUUUGCAUGGUCAGUACGAAGUAUUGCCUUUGUGCAGCAACAUGUUUACUUAAACACUGUAAAUAAUAUCUGAAGCCGAUUGAAGAAAUUCUUUCUGUCAUUAGUAGUUCCAGCAUCAUCAUUAGCUAGUGCUCAAUCCUUUUCAGCCUUGACACCUUUCAAUUUUACAUUUCUGCAGUUCCAAUCCCCUGUUAAGCCGUUGGUUCCCCACUGGAUGGCAGUCCCUGCAAUGUUAUUCGCUCUGGGAGGAAAGUCUGACUUUAAAAGCAGCGUACUGAAAUCUCAUACUGCUUUACACAUGAAUAUGUACAAGAAAUAUUACAGCGACAAAAGGAGUAAAAUGCUGUCUAAAGAGCCACCAACUGCUCAUGUCAUCAUUGCUGUGUUUGGAGGCUCUGAAAGGCUAUGGCAACCAAAAUCUUAUACAAGACUGUGGAUACCUCUAAAAGUAAUGUUAUUGGAUGCCACGGUGUUUCAGUGUGCAGCUGUAGUUUCCAAGCUGAUCCUGCCCCUACCCCUUUCAGAGUUACUGAGACAGACUGCAUAAGCAAACUACAUAAGGGUCUUGGGCACUGUGGUCCUGAAAUUCUGAACCUAAAGGUGCAAGCAGAAGCCUCGGAGACCCUAAGAUCAUUAGUUACAAUAUUUGCUGUAGAAAUCAAUAAAAUUGAUCAAAUUAAUCAAUAAAAGAUUCUCCAGAAGGA